CAGAGGGGGCAAGCGUUGUUCGGAAUUACUGGGCGUAAAGGGCGCGUAGGCGGCCUGCUAAGUCGAACGUGAAAUCCCUGGGCUCAACCCAGGAACUGCGUCCGAUACUGGUUGGCUUGAAUUCGGGAGAGGGAUGUGGAAUUCCAGGUGUAGCGGUGAAAUGCGUAGAUAUCUGGAGGAACACCGGUGGCGAAGGCGGCAUCCUGGACCGAUAUUGACGCUGAUGCGCGAAAGCCAGGGGAGCAAACGGGAUUAGAUACCCCGGUAGUCCUGGCCCUAAACGAUGAAUGCUUGGUGUGGGCGGGUAUCGAUCCCUGCCGUGCCGAAGCUAACGCAUUAAGCAUUCCGCCUGGGGAGUACGGUCGCAAGGCUG
Molecule: ribosomal RNA, 373 nt
Filed under: uncultured organism
Description: bacterial SSU rRNA
Rfam family: Bacterial small subunit ribosomal RNA
Source: RNAcentral